GGGACGUGUCCCGUUUUGUAUGUACCUUAUGAAUAAGGAUCGGCUAACUCCGUGCCAGCAGCCGCGGUAAUACGGAGGAUCCGAGCGUUAUCCGGAUUUAUUGGGUUUAAAGGGUGCGUCGGCGGCCUUUUAAGUCAGCGGUGAAAGUCUGUGGCUCAACCAUAGAAUUGCCGUUGAAACUGGGGGGCUUGAGUAUGUUUGAGGCAGGCGGAAUGCGUGGUGUAGCGGUGAAAUGCAUAGAUAUCACGCAGAACCCCGAUUGCGAAGGCAGCCUUCCAAGCCAUUACUGACGCUGAUUCACGAAAGCGUGGGGAUCAAACAGGAUUAGAUACCCUGGUAGUCCACGCAGUAAACGAUGAUCACUAGCUGUGUGCGAUACGCUGUAAGCGGCACAGCGAAAGCGUUCAGUGAUCCACCUGGGGAGUACGCCGGCAACGGUGAAACUCAAAGGAAUUGACGGGGGCCCGCACAAGCGGAGGAACAUGUGGUUUAAUUCGAUGAUACGCGAGGAACCUUACCCGGGUUUGAACGCACUCGGACCGAGGUGGAAACACCUUUUCUAGCAAUAGCCGUUUGCGAGGUGCUGCACGGUUGUCGUCAGCUCGUGCCGUGAGGUGUCGGCUUAAGUGCCAUAACGAGCGCAACCCUUGCCACUAGUUACUAACAGGUAAAGCUGAGGACUCUGGUGGGACUGCCAGCGUAAGCUGCGAGGAAGGCGGGGGUGACGUCAAAUCAGCACGGCCCUUACAUCCGGGGCGACACACGUGUUACAAUGGCGUGGACAAAGGGAUGCCACCUGGCGACAGGGAGCGAAUCCCCAAACCACGUCUCAGUUCGGAUCGGAGUUUGCAACCCGACUCCGUGAAGCUGGAUUCGCUAGUAAUCGCGCAUCAGCCAUGGCGCGGUGAAUACGUUCCCGGGCCUUGCACA
Molecule: ribosomal RNA, 930 nt
Filed under: uncultured bacterium
Lineage: Bacteria
Description: bacterial SSU rRNA
Rfam family: Bacterial small subunit ribosomal RNA
Source: RNAcentral